Molecule: long non-coding RNA, 2691 nt
Filed under: Anas platyrhynchos (mallard)
Lineage: Eukaryota; Metazoa; Chordata; Aves; Anseriformes; Anatidae
Description: lncRNA (ENSAPLG00020002675.1)
Source: RNAcentral
GCUCUGCCCCGCCGCUGCCAUCCCCGGCGGAGCGGCGGGCGCGGGGCGGGGAGCGCGGCGGGCGGGAUGCUCGGCGCCCGCAACAGGCGGCGAAAGUUGGGGCCGGGCGGAGCGGGCAGGUGCGCGGCCCCGAGCCCCGCCGCUGACUGCCGCGGCUGGCCGCUUUUGCUCUUUUUGAUCCGCGGCUCGGGGAGAGCGGGAGCGAGAGGCUGGCUUGCGGAGGAGAGGAGGUGCAGCGAGGGAGACCGCCCCACGCCGCGAAUUCGGCCCAGGGUCUCUGCAAUGAUUAAUCCGGCACCAUUCCCAGGAAACCUUAUAAUGGAACUAUACUCAUCUGACAUACAUUGAAAUAAGCCCAUUAAUUUCAACGUCUUUGGAGACAGAGGGAGAAAAGUAAUGAUUUGUUGCAAAUGGAGAAAAUGGAGAAGUGGAGCCAGUUGGGAGAAUGAAGAAUCAUGUUCAGUCUUUUAAAAGCAUUUUUACAAGCCAUGGAAGAUAGUAAGGAAAAAAAAAAAAAGGAGUUAUAGCCAAGCAAAAUUUGGCAAUGACCUCCAUACUGCCUGAGUGGUAAGCACACCCUGCCUCCUGUGAGCAAAGUAGAUGGAGGAGGCAACCCCUCAGUGUCUGAGGUGAUGAUGGCAUCGGUUCAGGCCCCCCACUGCUCCCCGUGCCUGCAGCAGCAGGGCUGAAGCCUCUUUACAGGCUUACAGUAUGGAUGAAACACCAAACAACCAGUAUAACCCUUCAAAUAACAAAGAAACACAGCUGAAACCUCAAAACAUAAAAAUGGAGGGAGAUGCUGUAAAAUAUGGGCACAGCGUGUAUUUAAACACGUAGAUCUCAGCGGUCCCACCUGGAUCACUAGAGAUGGGCCCAGCUUGAGCUUCACGUGGGCUCAUCAGCCUGCUGGGCUUGAGACGUGGCCCAGAACCUCCAGCCCGGUGACUCACGCAUUGCCUGGCCCUGCAACUAACAAAAAACUGCAGCUGAAGGUAUGAGGAAAGGUAAUGCCACGGGAUGGGAUCAGAGGUCUUCCAGAUGGAUGCAAAGGAACCAGUAGACCCAAGGGGAAUUUCAUGUGGCUGAGUGUCAGCUGUGCUACAAGCUGUUUUUCGGGUACCCAUGUGGGAAAAAGCCUGCAUGUAAGAUACGUUUUCAGUGGGUAGGCUUGUGAGAGAAGUGUUUUCCUGCACAAAUAAGCCUAUAUGCAUUCUUCCAAAAAGCUGGUAUAAAGCUUUAGUUGGAUUUUCUGAAAGAUUAGUACCAAUAGUUCAAAGAACUUUUUUUUUUUUUCCUCUUUUACGCAGAUGAGUGCAUGAACUUACCCUUUGUAACAGCUACACAGUAAUAAAGGCCUAGAGUUACUGGAGAGCUGCUCAGCACUUCAGAAAUGAUGGCAAAUAAGCAGGAGUAACAACCAGUCGUAUGAUGGUAUCCCCUGUAAAGGAUAGGGAAAAAAAAAAAAAAAAAAGAAAGAAAAAAAAAGAAAGAAAAAAAGCCACUGUUCUGAAAGAUUUGCUGUUGCCACAAAUCCAUGCAGAUACCUGCCAAGUGGAUGUGGAUUCCGGUGUCUUUGCUCUUUCAGCGUCAAAUAGUUUUCAAGCCUCUGGAGUAAAAUAUACAGACUCUGGAAGACAACGAGGGGAGGAUUCACAUGAUUAGUAUCAAGAAAUGUAUUGAAGAAAGCUGAGGCUCAGAGAUGUGGCAUAACAUUGCUUAAGAAACAGCUGGUUUUGUGUUUUAGACCAAGAGCGGACUAUUCGCAUGUGUGAUUUCAAUAAGCCGUGUGAGAACUGCGUUUGACACCACCGUGCCCACCAAGAAGGAAGUAGCUUCAGUCUGUAUGCACUGAGAACACCAAGGGCUAUGAAGACCUAGAUAGAAGUGAGACUUUUUAUACUGAAGUAAGCUUUUCUGUACGGGCUUGGAUAUAUUAGUGCCUUUGCAUGUGUAUUCCUGGCUUUCUGCUUUUUGGGUUAGUGUUUGCCCUGUUGCUCGUGGUGUUCUCCCGGCUUCUUGUGUCUUUGCAAACUCCGCAGAUGCAUGUAUUUUCACCCAGUCUGAGGUUUGCUGCCUGGGUUUGCAAGAUGUUAAUCACAACAGACGUGCAUAAAGGAAGACUGCAAAAUGCUUUAUGUCCUUCUCAGUUUACAGAGCCAACAUCUUAGUUUUGACUUACUGUCUAUUUGGUUAAGAUUAAUUAUUUUAGAGGCACUUUUGUGAUUAGACCUUCACAUAAAUUUGAAGAAGCCGCUCUGUCUGUCUCUCUUUCUCUCUUUUCUCUUUCCUCUUUCUUUCACUUUCUUCCUCCCUUUCUUUCUCUCUCUCUCUCUCUCCUCCACCCCCCCUUCCUUCCUUUCUUCCUUUCUUAUUUCCUGAAAAGGUAUCCUGUGAGCACCUUAUUUUCCUGAUAUUCACGUUUCUUUUUAGAAUUAUUAACAUCUAAUGGGCUUUCUGGGUGUGUACGUGUAUGACUGUGAACCGUAUUUUUUAAAGGCUUCAUGUAUUUUAAUCAUUAGUCUUGUCUGAAAGAGAAACAAUUGAACUGCUAUUGCAUUUACAAUGCAUAGACAGCAUUUUAUUUGCAGUUACAAUCUUCUUAAAAUGUAAGCCUUCAGCAUUUCAAAGUUCUUUUACAAUUUUCAUUAAAUCUUUCCAUAAAAUUACUUUCCGUAGUUUAGCAGUCAGCCA